Molecule: long non-coding RNA, 242 nt
Filed under: Homo sapiens (human)
Lineage: Eukaryota; Metazoa; Chordata; Mammalia; Primates; Hominidae
Description: HSALNT0379654
Source: RNAcentral
UUUUCUAACAUAGGCCAUAAAGCGAUCCAAAUGUCCACUUGCAAAUUCUACAAAAGAGUGUUUCAAAACUGCUCAAUCAAAAGAAAGGUUCAUCUCUGAGACAUGAAUGCACACAUCACAAAGGAGUUUCUCAGAAGGCUUCUGUCUAGUUUUUAUGUGAAGAUAUUUCCUUUUCCACUAUAGGCCACAAAGCGCUACAAAUAUCCACUUGCAGAUUCUACAAAAAGAAAUUUUCCAAACUC